This 376-nucleotide ribosomal RNA is filed under the name uncultured bacterium. Its description in RNAcentral is "bacterial SSU rRNA". It matches the Rfam family "Bacterial small subunit ribosomal RNA", at positions 428 to 793 of the family's 1533-position model. The record is from RNAcentral.
GUACGUUUCAAGCAGUGAGGAAGGUGGAGUCGUUAAUAGCGCCUCAUUUGACGUUUAGACUGCAGAAGAAGCACCGGCUAACUCCGUGCCAGCAGCCGCGGUAAUACGGAGGGUGCGAGCGUUAAUCGGAAUUACUGGGCGUAAAGCGCAUGCAGGUGGUUGUUAAGUCAGAUGUGAAAGACCGGGGCGUCAACCUCGGAAUUGCAUUUGAAACUGGCAGACUAGAGUACUGUAGAGGGGGUAGAAUUUCAGGUGUAGCGGUGAAAAUGCGUAGAGAUCUGAAGGAAUACCGGUGGCGAAGGCGGCCCCCUCGGACAGAAUACUGACACUCAGAUGCGAAAGCGUGGGGAGCAAACAGGAUUAGAUACCCUGGUAG